CUCGAUCGACACACAUCGUCUCUCGAUUCACCACACGAUUUCAUUUGACCGUACCUGUGUAAUAAAGUAAAGUUUUGUGGUGUAUAUAAGUUGAAUAAUUUUCUCUAGAUAUGAGCAUCUUUUUUAUUAACGAAUUCUUCUUACUGUGCUUCAUCAUGGCCAUGGUACCGGAUGUUCUGGUGCUGGGUUCACCGAAAGCCACGAAACUUGUCGACAAGAAUACGCCGCCGACAAUGUGCAACUACAGCAUAGCUAAUUUAGUACUGAAAGCUCAAUGCUCCAAUCGAAAAUUUUAAAAAAUCCCUAUGGAUUUAAAGGCGGACAUACAGAUGCUGGAUAUGAGCGGGAGUCAUUUGAUGGUACUGACGAAUAAAAGUCUGCAUUCUUACAAGAAACUGACCUACAUCAAUCUAGGUAAAGGUCACAUCGCCUCUCAGAGUGCUGGAGCUAAAUAGGAACUUGCUAUCCGUGAUCCCGAACAUAGGCGUCCAGCCGACCCUCCUUAAUCUGAACCUGUCCGGCAACGUAAUUACCUCGAUCAGCACCGAGGAUCUGGCGCCGUUUUGCUCGCUGAAGGACCUUGACCUGACCAGUAAUAGGAUCAGAUUCAACGGGAGCAGCUGCGAUUGUCAGAAGUUCAGCGCGUGGGUGAAGCUGCGGCAGAUCAAGAUAAAGACAGACGAUCUCUACAAAUGUACCGAGUCACCGGCAGCUUUGAACGAGACCUGCGCCAACGUAAGAUUCAGCAAUCGGACGUACGAGCUGUUCGACCAGUGCUCGGCCAUGAUACCGCAGAAGAUAGAGACCGAGGAAGUUGGAGCGGUCUGGAUAAGCGUCGCCUUAUGCAUUAUAGUGCUCCUCUUCGUAGUGUUUAUGGCGUUGUUUUACGUGUACAAGCGGUACCGUAGGGAGCAGAUAGAGAAACUAAUAGCGAACGAUUACGUCGAGCUGUACCGACAGUAACUUGACUGUAAUUAGUGAAACAGCUCUUUGACGGCAGAAACAUUUAUUUUUCCUAAAUAUAUAUUCGAUUAAAUGCUCUGUGAAUUUUGAGUCGAUUAAACUCUUUCUAUAAACACAAACACUACAGUUCUUGCUCUCUUUCUCUUUUUUUUUUAGUUAUAGCAAAACAUCGUUUAUUUGAGAAAUAAAUUGCUAAUAAAGAGCGAGAACUAUCGUGCUUGUGUUUAUUGGAAAAGUUUAAUCGACUCAGGAUUCACAAGGCAUUUAAUCGAAUAUAUAUCUACGUACCAAUGUUUGUAUGUGAUCCAAUGUUGUAUCAAUUUUUGGAAUAUUUAUUAGAAUAUUUUUAGAAAGAGUACACUGGACAUACAUUAGACAUCCUUAUGCCAUCUGGGUAUGAGUAUAUUAAUCUCCGCGGAGCUGUCUUCUUCAUUGAUUACUUUCGUUAAAGCCUGUUUUCUCUUUUUUCCAUUUACAAUAUUAAGCAAUCUCCAAUAAUAAGUACUAUUAAACGUCCAAAAGUUUUUUUUCGAUAUCUCUGACUUCUGGAGAUACAUAUAUUAUAUAGCCUCUUGAACACAGACGUUAUGAUCAAUAAAAGCGUUAUAAAUUAUCAUUCAGUUAUGAAAAAGGCAAUUUCGCGGAGAUUAAUAUAUUUAUACUCUGACAGCACAAAAAUGUCUAAUGUAUGUCCGGAGAAUAUUCGUUCUUAGACAUUGAGAUAUUCUUAAUCAAUCCAAAUAAGGUCUAUCGGAUAUUCGAUGAACGUCCAUUAGUUAAACAUUUGUCACAAUUUGGUACAUCUACAGAAUGUCCGAAAUAUAGCCAGCUUUGGAGCUUGCUCAAUUAUUGAUUUUGGAUUUAUUAUGGACUGAUUUAGGAUAUCUUUCUUUAAUUGUAAAUUUUUAUUAACAAUAACAAUUAAAUAAAUUUUGUUU
Molecule: non-coding RNA, 1901 nt
Organism: Nylanderia fulva
Lineage: Eukaryota; Metazoa; Arthropoda; Insecta; Hymenoptera; Formicidae
Source: RefSeq, a predicted model, not a curated record